This 503-nucleotide ribosomal RNA is filed under the name uncultured bacterium. RNAcentral's name for it is "partial 16S ribosomal RNA". It matches the Rfam family "Bacterial small subunit ribosomal RNA", at positions 899 to 1397 of the family's 1533-position model. The record is from RNAcentral.
ACUCAAAUGAAUUGACGGGGGCCCGCACAAGCGGUGGAGCAUGUGGAUUAAUUCGAGGCAACGCGAAGAACCUUACCAAGGCUUGACAUGGGGGCGCCCGCGCCGGAAACGGCGCCUCCCCCUCCGGGGGGCGCCCCGCACAGGUGGUGCAUGGUUGUCGUCAGCUCGUGUCGUGAGAUGUUGGGUUAAGUCCCGCAACGAGCGCAACCCCUGCGCCCAGUUGCCAUCGGGUAGAGCCGGGCCACACUGGGGGGACUGCCGUGGACAACACGGGGGAAGGUGGGGACGACGUCAAAUCAUCAUGCCCCUUAUGCCUUGGGCUUCACACGUGCUACAAUGGGGCAUACAGCGUGACGCGAGGCCGCGAGGCGGAGCGAAACACGAAAAAGCCCCCCAGUUCGGAUUGCAGGCUGCAACCCGCCUGCAUGAAGCCGGAAUCGCUAGUAAUCGCGGAUCAGCACGCCGCGGUGAAUACGUUCCCGGGCCUUGUACACACCGCCCGU